RNAcentral lists this long non-coding RNA (1239 nucleotides) under Mustela putorius furo (domestic ferret). RNAcentral's name for it is "lncRNA (ENSMPUG00000024031.1)". Lineage: Eukaryota; Metazoa; Chordata; Mammalia; Carnivora; Mustelidae. The record is from RNAcentral.
UAACAAUUCAAAUGUUCCAGAAGUAAUGAACAGAUAAACAAAAUGUGAUAGAACCAUAUGGUGGAAUAUCGUUGAUUCUUAAAAAGCAGUGAAAUACUGGUACAUGAUACUAAAGGGUUGAAUCCUGAAAACAUUAUGCUAAGUUAAGAAACCAGACACAAAAGGUAUACACUGUAUGAUUCUGUUUACAUAGAAUGUCCAAAAAGGGCAAAUCAUAAAGACAAAAAACCAAUAGUGGAUUCCAGGGGUCAGGGUGUGCGUGUAUGAGGAGUAAGUGCUUGUGGGUAUGGGGUUUCUUUCCAGGUUGAUGAAAACAUUCUGAAUUAUAUUGUGAUGAUGGCCGAACUCUCUCAUCACACUGAAACCGCUGAACUGCAUCCUUUAAAAUGGGUCUACAUUCCCCUUUGUAAGAUGUUCCCCGCUCCUCACUCCUCUCUGGUGCUGGAAGAGACCAUUAUCAUGACAAAUGACCAUAUCACUGGAGACAGACGUCGGCACCAAGUUGGGCCUGUACAAGCAAAGCUUACUGAAACGUCCUCCAUCGUCCAUUAACUUCUCCAGAUACUUCCCCAUCCACAAUUGCCACCCCUUGAAGUCCACACUCUUUUUCUUUUGUCUUGUCCCUUCUCCACAAUUUAUUGCCCUCUGUUAGGAUGGUACAUAAGCCCCAAACUCACCACCGAGUUCUCCCAUGUGUAUGCAUGUUGCAUGUAUAAAUAAACUUUGGGGUUUUUUUUUCUCCUGUUAAUCUUUUACCAACUUGAUUUAUAAGCCUCAACCACUGAGUAUAAGAAGGUAGAGGAAGAAUAUCUCCUCCUCCACAUUUGGAUGCUCUGUAAUAUUUGGGAGUAAUGCGCCUAAAAGCUGCUUGAAUUUUAUGCAUGGUGAUGGGGCGGUGGUAUGUGACAGGGCAGAAAUCUGGAUUUUCUACUGUCCGUGACUUUUCCUGCUAUAAGUGGAAGAUGCACUAAGGUCUGGUAAUAAACUCUCUCACUGGGAGCAGACCGACGUGGUUCUCCCACGUCAUGUCCCUGUUCAGGGUUCUCUGGGCUCCCCGGGUUCCUACAGAGACUGUUCUGUUCUCCUUCCUGGCAGAUAAGCACCCAGAUGCAGGGGCUUUCCAUUCGUGUCACGGCUGGGAAACAGGCAGAGGUGUGCCCCUCUCGUGAAUCCCCCCUCACCAGGUCCGGUCUCACCCCUACCCACUACUCCACCUGAUAACCCUGCAUCAGGAGACCU